GACCUCAGAAACCGAACUAGCGUAUCAACAUCGGAUCGUCGCUUUAAAAACAGAAUCGAAGCGGCGUCUUAUCGAAUAUUGGAGUGUCAUCAUGAGCCCAUGACUCGAAACCACCUCGAAAAGCAAAAAGCCGCCGCCUCGUGCUCUCAUUGAAGACGCCCCUAAAGCGCUCAAAACGACGGAGCAAUUUAAAGCUGUCUGAUCUCACUGGCAUGAUGAAAACAACUACUUCCUUCGCUUGAGUUUGUAAACGGCUCGAACUCGGAAGUUAGGAGGUAGUGUUGGGGGAAAAAUGGAUCAUUCAAAGCACGUGGUCAAAUUGCUGGCACUUGAUGAUAAACGUGGCGACAACAAGCAUACUCUUCAAGCGCCCGACCACAGAGCGUCCGACCUCAGAGCGUUCGGUCGCGGCACUGGCGACCCCAGAGCUCACAACCUCGAUCUCGGCUGAGUUAAGCCCGAUCGACCUCAAGGCCAAGGAAGAUCCAGUCAAAGGGAGAAGCAGGCCUCCCCACUCCAUCGAAAAUCAAGUCCUCCUCAUCCGGGAUCAAAUCCUGCGAUCUCCGCCUCAACGACCGUCAAUAUUUAAAUGCACAUGAUCUUAACGGAUCACCAGCCAGCCCAAAAUCUCGGGCCAUUUACGGUAACCCAUUAAUUCGCACAAUCACGUCCAAUCACAGGUAACCCCUACACCCCCUCCUAUAAAAAGGGGGGAGAACUCGGGGCAAGGGGGAUUUUUUUCUCUUUUCCCUUCGUCCUCGGCCAUUAUUUUUUUCCAUUGCUUCUCUCCAUUAAAACCCCCCUC
Molecule: long non-coding RNA, 805 nt
Filed under: Phoenix dactylifera (date palm)
Lineage: Eukaryota; Viridiplantae; Streptophyta; Magnoliopsida; Arecales; Arecaceae
Description: long non-coding RNA (PDAC_LNC010375)
Source: RNAcentral